CCCCCCGUAGCUCAGCGGAUUAGAGCGGUGGUUUCCUAAACCAUGUGCGCAGGUUCGAUUCCUGCCGGGGGGACCA
RNAcentral lists this transfer RNA (76 nucleotides) under Chloroflexota bacterium. Its description in RNAcentral is "Chloroflexi bacterium tRNA-Arg". It matches the Rfam family "tRNA". Rfam says of the family: Transfer RNA (tRNA) molecules are approximately 80 nucleotides in length. The record is from RNAcentral. Lineage: Bacteria; Bacillati; Chloroflexota.